Molecule: ribosomal RNA, 252 nt
Filed under: uncultured bacterium
Lineage: Bacteria
Description: partial 16S ribosomal RNA
Rfam family: Bacterial small subunit ribosomal RNA
Source: RNAcentral
UACGUAGGGGGCAAGCGUUGUCCGGAUUUAUUGGGCGUAAAGAGCGUGUAGGCGGCCAUACAGGUCAGCUGUGAAACUCGAGGCUCAACCUCGAGCUGUCGGCGGAAACCAUCUGGCUAGAGUCCGGAAGAGGAGAAUGGAAUUCCCGGUGUAGCGGUGAAAUGCGCAGAUAUCGGGAAGAACACCCGUGGCGAAGGCGGUUCUCUGGGACGGUACUGACGCUGAGACGCGAAAGCGUGGGGAGCGAACAGG